RNAcentral lists this ribosomal RNA (254 nucleotides) under uncultured bacterium. Its description in RNAcentral is "partial 16S ribosomal RNA". It matches the Rfam family "Bacterial small subunit ribosomal RNA", at positions 524 to 776 of the family's 1533-position model. The record is from RNAcentral.
UACGUAGGGUGCGAGCGUUGUCCGGAAUUAUUGGGCGUAAAGAGCUCGUAGGCGGUCUGUCGCGUCGGUCGUGAAAACUUGGGGCUUAACCCUGAGCUUGCGGUCGAUACGGGCAUGACUGGAGUUCGGCAGGGGAGACUGGAAUUCCUGGUGUAGCGGUGAAAUGCGCAGAUAUCAGGAGGAACACCGGUGGCGAAGGCGGGUCUCUGGGCCACUACUGACGCUGAGAAGCGAAAGCAUGGGGAGCGAACAGG